RNAcentral lists this unclassified non-coding RNA (427 nucleotides) under uncultured Strophariaceae. Its description in RNAcentral is "sequence contains ITS2". The stretch from base 1 to 154 matches the Rfam family "5.8S ribosomal RNA". The record is from RNAcentral. Lineage: Eukaryota; Fungi; Basidiomycota; Agaricomycetes; Agaricales; Strophariaceae.
AACUUUCGACAAUGGAUCUCUUGGCUCUCGCAUCGAUGAAGAACGAAGCGAAAUGCGAUAAGUAAUGUGAAUUGCAGAAUUCAGUGAAUCAUCGAAUCUUUGAACGCACCUUGCGCUCCUUGGUAUUCCGAGGAGCAUGCCUGUUUGAGUGUCAUUAAAUUCUCAACCAUUGUUAACUUUUGGGUUAGCAAAUGGCUUGGAUGUGGGGGUGUGCACGUUUCUCUACUGAAAUUAGCUCCCGUGAAAUACAUUAGCUGCUUGCCUUGUGUAAACUUGUCUAUUUGUGUGAUAAUUAUCUACGCCGUGGACUAUUUGCCGUUUUUAGCAUUGCUUAUAAUCGUCUGUUAGGCCAGACAAUAUAUGCCAAUUUGACCACAAAUGAGGCAGGACUACCCGCUGAGCUCAAGCAUAUCAAUAAGCGGAGGCU